CCCUUAGAUGUUCUGGGCCGCACGCGCGCUACACUGAUGCAUGCAACGAGUUCUAUCCUUGGCCGGAAGGCCUGGGUAAUCUGUGAAUGUGCAUCGUGAUAGGGAUAGAUUAUUGCAAUUAUUAAUCUUGAACGAGGAAUUCCUAGUAAACGCAAGUCAUCAGCUUGCAUUGAUUACGUCCCUGCCCUUUGUACACACCGCCCGUCGCACCUACCGAUCGAAGGUAAUGAUGAGCCCUCAGGAUUGUGGCCUCGUCGCGUCAGCGUCUUGGCUGCGAGAAUCUGUGCAAAUCCCUACCUUUAGAGGAAGGUGAANUCGUANCA
This 323-nucleotide ribosomal RNA is filed under the name uncultured eukaryote. RNAcentral's name for it is "partial 18S ribosomal RNA". It matches the Rfam family "Eukaryotic small subunit ribosomal RNA", at positions 1470 to 1796 of the family's 1831-position model. The record is from RNAcentral.